UACGUAGGGUGCGGGCGUUAAUCGGAAUUACUGGGCGUAAAGCGUGCGCAGGCGGUUUCUUAAGUCAGAUGUGAAAGCCCCGGGCUUAACCUGGGAACUGCGUUUGAAACUGGGAGACUUGAGUGUGGCAGAGGGGGGUGGAAUUCCACGUGUAACAGUGAAAUGCGUAGAUAUGUGGAGGAACACCAAUGGCGAAGGCAGCUCGCUGGGACGGUACUGACGCUAAGGCGCGAAAGCGUGGGGAGCGAACAGG
RNAcentral lists this ribosomal RNA (253 nucleotides) under uncultured bacterium. RNAcentral describes it as "partial 16S ribosomal RNA". It matches the Rfam family "Bacterial small subunit ribosomal RNA", at positions 524 to 776 of the family's 1533-position model. The record is from RNAcentral.